GCCUAUGGAUCAAGGUGCGUACUCAAAC
RNAcentral lists this non-coding RNA (28 nucleotides) under Homo sapiens (human). Lineage: Eukaryota; Metazoa; Chordata; Mammalia; Primates; Hominidae. The record is from RNAcentral.